RNAcentral lists this unclassified non-coding RNA (337 nucleotides) under soil metagenome. RNAcentral describes it as "partial contains 5.8S ribosomal RNA, internal transcribed spacer 2, and large subunit ribosomal RNA". The stretch from base 1 to 120 matches the Rfam family "5.8S ribosomal RNA", at positions 35 to 154 of the family's 154-position model. The record is from RNAcentral.
GAUGAAGAACGUAGCGAAAUGCGAUAAGUAAUGUGAAUUGCAGAAUUCCGUGUAUCAUCGAAUCUUUGAACGCACAUUGCGCCCCCUGGCAUUCCGGGGGGCAUGCCUGUCCGAGCGUCAUUUCUGCCCUCAAGCACGGCUUGUGUGUUGGGUGUGGUCCCCCCGGGGACCUGCCCGAAAGGCAGCGGCGACGUCCGUCUGGUCCUCGAGCGUAUGGGGCUCUGUCACUCGCUCGGGAAGGACCUGCGGGGGUUGGUCACCACUAUAUUUUACCACGGUUGACCUCGGAUCAGGUAGGAGUUACCCGCUGAACUUAAGCAUAUCAAUAAGCGGAGGA